ACAUGUCGCUAACGAAGUAGAGAUACAUUAGGUGCUCGUAAGAGAAAGUGAACACAGGUGCUGCAUGGCUGUCGUCAGCUCGUGUCGUGAGAUGUUGGGUUAAGUCCCGCAACGAGCGCAACCCUUGUCUUUAGUUGCUACGCAAGAGCACUCUAAAGAGACUGCCGGUGACAAACCGGAGGAAGGUGGGGAUGACGUCAAGUCCUCAUGGCCCUUAUGGGUAGGGCUUCACACGUCAUACAAUGGUGCAUACAGAGGGUUGCCAACCCGCGAGGGGGAGCUAAUCUCAGAAAAUGCAUCGUAGUCCGGAUCGUAGUCUGCAACUCGACUACGUGAAGCUGGAAUCGCUAGUAAUCGCGGAUCAGAAUGUCGCGGUGAAUACGUUCCCGGGUCUUGUACACACCGCCCGUCAUACCAUGGGAGUGGGUUUUGCCAGAAGCCGUUAGCCUAACCGCAAGGAGGGCGACUGCCACG
This 474-nucleotide ribosomal RNA is filed under the name uncultured beta proteobacterium. Its description in RNAcentral is "bacterial SSU rRNA". It matches the Rfam family "Bacterial small subunit ribosomal RNA", at positions 984 to 1461 of the family's 1533-position model. Lineage: Bacteria; Pseudomonadati; Pseudomonadota; Betaproteobacteria. The record is from RNAcentral.